CUAGCUAGUACUGGUGGGAAUUCUCUACAACAAAAUGCACAACAAAUAUUCUCCAAAAACCGCUGCAUCUUAUGUGUGAUGUUCGAACAACAUUUAUAAACAAUUUGAUAUAAAUUGUACAUUUAAAUCAUCACUUGAGAGUAUAAAAAUCACUUUUGAUGUACAGUGCUUUGCAACCAACAACUUACCGCUGGUUUGGUGCUUGUUCACUGGGACGAUUCUAACUGGAACAUCCCCCCUCGUAAGCAAGCUACGCAAACCAGCCAAUAAGAUGCCAUGUAGAGUAGGUGAAGGCAAGACAAACUCAAACCAAAAACCCAUUAGCUUAACAAUAAAGUGGCAAGGGGAAUCACCAAUAUAACCCUGUUACACCGGCAACAACAUCACUGGACCAGACAGGACUGGCAAAAAUCACGUUCUGUGCGUGAUUUCCUGCAAGACAGGAUUGUCAGUGUUCUGCCUGGCCAGUGAAGAGCCUGGAUCUCAAUCCCAUUGAGCACAUCUGGGAGCUGUUGGAUCAGAGGGCUUGGGCCAUUCCACCCAGAAAUGUCCGGGAACUUGCAGGUGCCUUGGUGGAAGAGUGGGGUAACAUCUCACAGCAAGAACUGGCAAAUCUGGUGCAGUCCAUGAGGAGGAGAUGCACUGCAGUACUUAAUGCAGCUGGUGGCCACACCAGAUACUGACUGUUACUUUUGAUUUUGACCCCCUGUUUGUUCAGGGACACAUUAUUCAAUUUCUGUUAGUCACAUGUCUGUGGAACUUGUUCAGUUUGUGUCUCAGUUGUUGAAUCUCGUUAUGUAUAUACAAAUAUUUACACAUGUUAAGUUUGCUGAAAAUAAACGCAUUUGACAGUGAGACAUUACUUUUUUAAAAGUUUAUUAACUUGAAAUCCAAUGACAUGAGGUAUGUGUUUGUGUUUGUGUGUGUGGGGGGGGUCUGGGGUUGGAACUCAAUAGGAAUGUGGGGGGUCUGGGGUUGGAACAAUAUGAUGUAGGAGGGGUCUGGGGUUGGAACAAUAUGAUGUAGGAGGGGUCUGGGGUUGGAACAAUAUGUAGGAGGGGUCUGGGGUUGGAACAAUAUGAUGUAGGAGGGGUCUGGGGUUGGAACAAUAUGUAGGAGGGGUCUGGGGUUGGAACAAUAUGAUGUAGGAGGGGUCUGGGGUUGGAACUCAAUAGGAAUGUCGGGGGGUCUGGGGUUGGAACUCAAUAGGAAUGUCGGGGGGGGUCUGGGGUUGGAACUCAAUAGGAAUGUGG
Oncorhynchus tshawytscha (Chinook salmon) is the source of this 1253-nucleotide long non-coding RNA. Lineage: Eukaryota; Metazoa; Chordata; Actinopteri; Salmoniformes; Salmonidae. The record is from Ensembl.